AUUGAACGCUGGCGGCAGGCCUAACACAUGCAAGUCGAACGAGUGGCGGACGGGUGAGUAAUGUCUGGGAAACUGCCUGAUGGAGGGGGAUAACUACUGGAAACGGUAGCUAAUACCGCAUACCAUCGAAUGUGCUCAGAUGGGAUUAGCUUGUUGGUGGGGUAACGGCGCACCAAUGCGACGAUCCCUAGCUGGUCUGCGAGGAUGACCAGCCACACUGGAACUGAGACACGGUCCAGACUCCUACGUGAGGAAGCAGUGGGGAAUAUUGCACAAUGGGCGCAAGCCUGAUGCAGCCAUGCCGCGUGUAUGAAGAAGGCCUUCGGGUUGUAAAGUACUUUCAGCGGGGAGGCGUUACCCGCAGAAGAAGCACCGGCUAACUCCGUGCCAGCAGCCGCGGUAAUAC
This 406-nucleotide ribosomal RNA is filed under the name uncultured bacterium. RNAcentral describes it as "partial 16S ribosomal RNA". It matches the Rfam family "Bacterial small subunit ribosomal RNA", at positions 30 to 526 of the family's 1533-position model. The record is from RNAcentral.